Molecule: long non-coding RNA, 1931 nt
Organism: Oreochromis niloticus (Nile tilapia)
Lineage: Eukaryota; Metazoa; Chordata; Actinopteri; Cichliformes; Cichlidae
Exons: 3
Source: RefSeq, a predicted model, not a curated record
CCACAGACGGAACCGUGUUUCUUACCGGAGCACGCCUGCAGGGAAACUAGGUCAAUGUGUGCGAAGGGAAAAGAAAGGCACCGAGGAAGAGAUGGCACACUUUUCCGCCUCAAGUCAUCUCAGUGAUGGAUUACUUCAUUUAGAAGUGAGGAAAGGCGAAGCCCAAAUAAGUGCGACUCCUGAUGAAGUGGUCACUAAAGUGGGAGGGAGGAGGUGCAGGGAAUCCAGGUGGCCCGUGACGUUCACCGGCAGUAUUGUCCAUCCCAGAGGUCUGUGAGGGUCUAAUGAGGAAUUCCAGACUCAGGACUGGACAUCCAGCUGCAGACUCCCCUGUCUCCCAGUGCCUUUUGUUCUGGGGACCCCGACGUAGCCUUGAAUGCAGGUCACUGCAGGUUACUGACAAAGCUUGGUGAAAGGGGCGUUUUGUGAGCAUGUCUGAAAGAAGUGCAUACAAUUAAAAAUAGCCUGCCCUCCUGUCAAUGUAUCGCCAUUAAAAACAGCUGGGUUGGGCUUCUGCCUGCAUUCAGCCACGUGAAAGUUGAUUCUCUCAUUGUGCGCCUAUCUUGUCACAACUCCCCCUUUACUGCCAUCCUUUGUUGGCUGCUUUGUGCAAGCACCAUCACGGAGGCAAAGUCAGCCUCAUAAAAAGAGUUCAUUUUGGAUUCACUGGCCUCCGAUGAACAGUGGGAACUUUCUUUAUUGUGCCUUCAUCCAUAAAUCGCUGCUAACUCACUGGGCCCUGUCAGUCUGUCUCAAAAGAUUCUUUAUGGGGCAUUUCCUACUUCUUCCCUUGGAUGCGUUUUGUAGGUGAUCGUGAAGCUCAAGUUCCUAGGACGGUGCACGGCGGAUGCUCCGUGCAUUUAUUUGAUUGCAAUAACAGGGGAAAGAAUAGAAAUGCCUUUUUAUUUUUGAUGGCGGGAAUAUAUUUCAAUUAAUCAAACUUAAUUAAUCUCACCUGGCUGCCAGAUGAUCGUGCAGGCCCGUGAGAGUGUUUUCAUUUUGCUGUCAGUUAUGACACAUUGGAGCUAUCAUUGGCUUUAGGAUCAGUCCUCUGAGCCUACAGGUAAAAGUAAACACACAGGAUCCCACCCAUGGAGCAGCUGUCAGUGGCUUCAAUGAAUCAGCUCUACCUGUGCAACCAGGCACUCUAUGGGUUAAUGGAAGUGGAGGCGGACAGUCUUGUCUGUAUGGCAUAGCCGCCUGUGUUAGAUGUGGUGCUUUCAGGAAGACCUCCUUUACCAGGCUUGUCAUUUUCCACCACCCCUUAUUGUUCCACCCCCGUCUCCGUCUCCGACUCUCUCUCUCUUUUUCUUUCUCCCCUGGGCCCUCUCUUCACUCUGUCCAAGGCCUUUUCUGAUGCCAAGAAAACACACACAAGCAAGCAGCAACAUGCACCCUCACACUGACACACUCUCAUAAAGACAGAGACAGAAGCAGGCCAAGACACAGAAGACUCACACAAUCAAAAAGUCAAUAAAUGGCCUUCUUAUCUUAUCAGUACUGUCAUCGCUCUAUCAUCCACAGCCGGUCCUUUUGUCUCAUUGCCUAGUGAUUCCCAAACAACGGAUGCAAUUUAUACUUAGAAGGUUUGAAAUAAGCCAAACCUUUGAAAUUUCACUAAAUCAAAGAUUAGUUUGCAGAAACGAAUAAAAACAUUUUUUUUGUUUGUUUGGGGGCUUUUUUCAAAAAUGCAGAAGUCACAGUUUGUAAUCAAAGCAGGCACACAAAAAGGCCUUUAAGUUGUUUAUGAAAGAACAAAUCGACAGGAGAGUUCACACUUAUUCUAAUGCACAAGUUUUAUUUUUGCUCUACGUUUAGCUGAGGGGUCACCUCAGCGGGUAGCUCUGCAUAUUUGAUUUGGCACAUUUUACACCAGAUGUCCUGUUUGAUAUAUGUGUAGUUGUACCUUAAGCUUGUACACACAGACACCU